UACGAGGGGGGCUAGCGUUGCUCGGAAUUACUGGGCGUAAAGGGCGCGUAGGCGGACGGCUUUGUCGGGCGUGAAAUUCCAGGGCUUAACCUUGGGGCUGCGUUCGAGACGGGUUGUCUAGAGUUUGGAAGAGGGUCGUGGAAUUCCCAGUGUAGAGGUGAAAUUCGUAGAUAUUGGGAAGAACACCGGUGGCGAAGGCGGCGACCUGGUCCUUGACUGACGCUGAGGCGCGAAAGCGUGGGGAGCAAACAGG
This 253-nucleotide ribosomal RNA is filed under the name uncultured bacterium. Its description in RNAcentral is "partial 16S ribosomal RNA". It matches the Rfam family "Bacterial small subunit ribosomal RNA", at positions 524 to 776 of the family's 1533-position model. The record is from RNAcentral.